RNAcentral lists this ribosomal RNA (365 nucleotides) under Bacillus subtilis group sp. Its description in RNAcentral is "bacterial SSU rRNA". It matches the Rfam family "Bacterial small subunit ribosomal RNA", at positions 957 to 1326 of the family's 1533-position model. Lineage: Bacteria; Bacillati; Bacillota; Bacilli; Caryophanales; Bacillaceae. The record is from RNAcentral.
UACCGCGAAGAACCUUACCAGGUCUUGACAUCCUCUGACAAUCCUAGAGAUAGGACUUCCCCUUCGGGGGCAGAGUGACAGGUGGUGCAUGGUUGUCGUCAGCUCGUGUCGUGAGAUGUUGGGUUAAGUCCCGCAACGAGCGCAACCCUUGAUCUUAGUUGCCAGCAUUCAGUUGGGCACUCUAAGGUGACUGCCGGUGACAAACCGGAGGAAGGUGGGGAUGACGUCAAAUCAUCAUGCCCCUUAUGACCUGGGCUACACACGUGCUACAAUGGACAGUUUUAUUAAACAGCGAAACCGCGAGGUUAAGCCAAUCCCAUAAAUAUCACCUUCGGAUCGCAGUCUGCAACUCGGGUGCGUGAAGC